This is a non-coding RNA of Lupinus angustifolius (narrow-leaved blue lupine), 107 nucleotides long. The record is from Rfam. Lineage: Eukaryota; Viridiplantae; Streptophyta; Magnoliopsida; Fabales; Fabaceae.
AGUGCAGUGAUGUGACUAAAACACAUUUGUGUUAUUGGGCAGUGGACGUUGCCACAAGGUAACGCCGUGAGCUUAUAAUUAAACGACUUCUCCUUCCACUGAGCACU